This 562-nucleotide ribosomal RNA is filed under the name uncultured bacterium. RNAcentral's name for it is "bacterial SSU rRNA". It matches the Rfam family "Bacterial small subunit ribosomal RNA", at positions 338 to 916 of the family's 1533-position model. The record is from RNAcentral.
CCUACGGGAGGCAGCAGUGGGGAAUUUUCCGCAAUGGGCGAAAGCCUGACGGAGCAAUACCGCGUGAGGGAGGAAGGCUCUUGGGUUGUAAACCUCUUUUUUCAGGGAAGAUAAUGACGGUACCUGAGGAAUAAGCAUCGGCUAACUCCGUGCCAGCAGCCGCGGUAAUACGGAGGAUGCAAGCGUUAUCCGGAAUGAUUGGGCGUAAAGCGUCCGCAGGUGGUUUUAAAAGUCUGUUGUUAAAGCGUGAGGCUUAACCUCAUAAGGGCAAUGGAAACUGUAAGACUAGAGUACGUUCGGGGCAAGGGGAAUUCCCAGUGUAGCGGUGAAAUGCGUAGAGAUUGGGAAGAACACCGGUGGCGAAAGCGCCUUGCUAGGCCGUAACUGACACUGAGGGACGAAAGCUAGGGGAGCGAAUGGGAUUAGAUACCCCAGUAGUCCUAGCCGUAAACGAUGGAUACUAGGCGUUGUCUGUAUCGACCCGGACAGUGCCGUAGCUAACGCGUUAAGUAUCCCGCCUGGGGAGUACGCACGCAAGUGUGAAACUCAAAGGAAUUGACGG